CUCUGCGUAGACACACGUGAAACUGCAUUAGUAAAUUUGCUGUCUGACUGCCUUUAUUACGUACGAAACAAAAAACAUUUAAAACAACUCUGAUUAUUUGGACCCAAAACAUUCUAAUUCAUAUAUAACUUGCCAGGUGGCUUGCUUUACUUACCUGAAUGAUAAUAUUUAUUCUAGACCCGUCAUUUUUUUAAACCUUUAAGGGAAAACUGUCACUUCUCUGAAAUUUAAAC
Non-coding RNA from Pelobates cultripes (western spadefoot toad), 233 nucleotides. NCBI's taxonomy places the organism in Eukaryota, Metazoa, Chordata, Amphibia, Anura, Pelobatidae. The record is from the annotation of a GenBank genome assembly.